RNAcentral lists this ribosomal RNA (441 nucleotides) under uncultured bacterium. RNAcentral describes it as "partial 16S ribosomal RNA". It matches the Rfam family "Bacterial small subunit ribosomal RNA", at positions 338 to 795 of the family's 1533-position model. The record is from RNAcentral.
CCUACGGGUGGCAGCAGUGGGGAAUAUUGCACAAUGGGGGAAACCCUGAUGCAGCGACGCCGCGUGAGUGAAGAAGUACUUCGGUAUGUAAAGCUCUAUUAGUAGGGAAGAAGAAAGACGGUACUUGACUAAGAAGCCUCGGCUAACUACGUGCCAGCAGCCGCGGUAAUAUGCAGGGGGCCAGCGUUAUCCGGAUUUACUGGGUGUAAAGGGAGCGUAGACGGUUGUGCAAGUCUGAAGUGAAAGCCCAGGGCUCAACCCUUGGACUGCAUUGGAAACUGGGGAGCUAGAGUGCUGGAGAGGUAAGUGGAAUUCCUAGUGUAGCGGUGAAAUGCGUAGAUAUUAGGAAGAACACCAGUGGCGAAGGCGGCUUACUGGACAGUAACUGACGUUGAGGCUCGAAAGCGUGGGGAGCAAACAGGAUUAGAUACCCUUGUAGUC